GGAGUUGUGGCUCAGUGGUAGAGUGCUCGCCUAGCAUAUGUGAGGCGCUGGGUUUGAUCCUCAGCACCA
Molecule: transfer RNA, 69 nt
Filed under: Marmota monax (woodchuck)
Lineage: Eukaryota; Metazoa; Chordata; Mammalia; Rodentia; Sciuridae
Description: tRNA.Ala
Source: RNAcentral